This 465-nucleotide ribosomal RNA is filed under the name uncultured bacterium. RNAcentral describes it as "partial 16S ribosomal RNA". It matches the Rfam family "Bacterial small subunit ribosomal RNA", at positions 28 to 506 of the family's 1533-position model. The record is from RNAcentral.
GACGAACGCUGGCGGCGCGCCUAACACAUGCAAGUCGAACGAGCGAGAGAGAGCUUGCUUUCUCGAGCGAGUGGCGAACGGGUGAGUAACGCGUGAGGAACCUGCCUCAAAGAGGGGGACAACAGUUUGAAACGACUGCUAAUACCGCAUAAGCCCACGACCCGGCAUCGGGUAGAGGGAAAAGGAGCAAUCCGCUUUGAGAUGGCCUCGCGUCCGAUUAGCUAGUUGGUGAGGUAACGGCCCACCAAGGCGACGAUCGGUAGCCGGACUGAGAGGUUGAACGGCCACAUUGGGACUGAGACACGGCCCAGACUCCUACGGGAGGCAGCAGUGGGGAAUAUUGCACAAUGGGGGAAACCCUGAUGCAGCGACGCCGCGUGGAGGAAGAAGGUCUUCGGAUUGUAAACUCCUGUUGUUGAGGAAGAUAAUGACGGUACUCAACAAGGAAGUGACGGCUAACUACGU